Molecule: ribosomal RNA, 272 nt
Filed under: uncultured bacterium
Lineage: Bacteria
Description: partial small subunit ribosomal RNA
Rfam family: Bacterial small subunit ribosomal RNA
Source: RNAcentral
AGAAUCAACGCUGGCGGCGUGCCUAACACAUGCAAGUCGAACGCGAAAGCCCCGCAAGGGGUCAGUAGAGUGGCAAACGGGUGAGUAACACGUGGGUGACCUGCCUUCGAGUGGGGGAUAACGUCCCGAAAGGGACGCUAAUACCGCAUGACAUCCUGCCUUUGGAAAGGCGGAGAUCAAAGCUGGGGAUCGCAAGACCUGGCGCUUGAAGAGGGGCCCGCGCCUGAUUAGCUAGUUGGUAGGGUAACGGCCUACCAGGGCGACGAUCAGUA